Molecule: ribosomal RNA, 491 nt
Filed under: uncultured bacterium
Lineage: Bacteria
Description: partial 16S ribosomal RNA
Rfam family: Bacterial small subunit ribosomal RNA
Source: RNAcentral
GUGAACGCUGGCGGUAGGCCUAACCCAUGCAAGUCGCACGGCAGCACAGUAAGAGCUUGCUCUUACGGGUGGCGAGUGGCGGACGGGUGAGGAAUACAUCGGAUUCUACUUUUUCGUGGGGGAUAACGUAGGGAAACUUACGCUAAUACCGCAUACGACCUACGGGUGAAAGCAGGGGAUCUUCGGACCUUGCGCGAUUGAAUGAGCCGAUGUCGGAUUAGCUAGUUGGCGGGGUAAAGGCCCACCAAGGCGACGAUCCGUAGCUGGUCUGAGAGGAUGAUCAGCCACACUGGAACUGAGACACGGUCCAGACUCCUACGGGAGGCAGCAGUGGGGAAUAUUGGACAAUGGGCGCAAGCCUGAUCCAGCCAUACCGCGUGGGUGAAGAAGGCCUUCGGGUUGUAAAGCCCUUUUGUUGGGAAAGAAAAGCAGCAGGUUAAUACCCCGCUGUUCUGACGGUACCCAAAGAAUAAGCACCGGCUAACUUCGUG